CAGUAGCCGCGGGAAUACGAAGGGUGCAAGCGUUACUCGGAAUUACUGGGCGUAAAGCGUGCGUAGGUGGUGGUUUAAGUCCGUUGUGAAAGCCCUGGGCUCAACCUGGGAAUUGCAGUGGAUACUGGGUCACUAGAGUGUGGUAGAGGAUAGUGGAAUUUCCGGUGUAGCAGUGAAAUGCGUAGAGAUCGGAAGGAACAUCUGUGGCGAAGGCGACUAUCUGGGCCAACACUGACACUGAGGCACGAAAGCGUGGGGAGCAAACAGGAUUAGAUACCCCUGUAGUCCCUGUCUCUUAUCU
Molecule: ribosomal RNA, 301 nt
Filed under: uncultured bacterium
Lineage: Bacteria
Description: partial 16S ribosomal RNA
Rfam family: Bacterial small subunit ribosomal RNA
Source: RNAcentral